GACGAACGCUGGCGGCGUGCUUAACACAUGCAAGUCGUACGGUAAGGCCCUUUCGGGGGUACACGAGUGGCGAACGGGUGAGUAACACGUGAGUAACCUGCCCACAACUUUGGGAUAACGCUAGGAAACUGGUGCUAAUACUGGAUAUGUGCUCCUGCUGCAUGGUGGGGGUUGGAAAGCUCCGGCGGUUGUGGAUGGACUCGCGACCUAUCAGCUUGUUGGUGGGGUAGUGGCCUACCAAGGCGGCGACGGGUAGCCGGCCUGGGAGGGUGACCGGCCACAUUGGGACUGAGAGACGGCCCAGAUUCCUACUGGAGGCAGCAGUGGGGAAUAUUGCACAAUGGGCGCAAGCCUGAUGCAGCAACGCCGCGUGCGGGAUGACGGCCUUCGGGUUGUAAACCACUUUCAGCAGGGACGAAGCUUUUUGUGACGGUACCUGCAGAAGAAGCACCGGCUAACUACGUG
This 465-nucleotide ribosomal RNA is filed under the name uncultured bacterium. RNAcentral's name for it is "partial 16S ribosomal RNA". It matches the Rfam family "Bacterial small subunit ribosomal RNA", at positions 28 to 507 of the family's 1533-position model. The record is from RNAcentral.